This is an unclassified non-coding RNA of Pongo abelii (Sumatran orangutan), 148 nucleotides long. It matches the Rfam family "Metazoan signal recognition particle RNA". Rfam says of the family: The signal recognition particle (SRP) is a universally conserved ribonucleoprotein. It is involved in the co-translational targeting of proteins to membranes. Lineage: Eukaryota; Metazoa; Chordata; Mammalia; Primates; Hominidae. The record is from Ensembl.
GCCGGGUGUGGUGGUGCACACCUGCAGUCCCAGCUACUCAGGAGGCUGAGGCAGAGGAAUCGCUUGAACCCGGGAGGCAGAGGUUGCAGUGAGCCAAGAUCAUGCCGUUGCACUCCAGCCCGGGUGACAGAGCGAGACUCUGUCUCCA